RNAcentral lists this unclassified non-coding RNA (464 nucleotides) under Hevea brasiliensis (rubber tree). Lineage: Eukaryota; Viridiplantae; Streptophyta; Magnoliopsida; Malpighiales; Euphorbiaceae. The record is from RNAcentral.
GUCCUCGCCGGCCUUGAGCUUUGCGUUCUCCUUGCCAGGGAGCACGCGGAAAGUGUGGGCACCGAAGUAGUCACGCUGUGCCUGGAGAACGUUAGCAGGGACGAUCUCGCUGCGGUAACCGUCGAAGAACGCGAGCGCGGUGGAGAACGCAGGCGUGGGGAUACCCCAGAGAACGGCCUGUGCAACGAUGCGGCGCCAGCCAGGCUGCGCCUUGUGGACGGCCUUGUUGAAGAAGUCGUCGAAGAGGAGAGACUCGAGCUUGUCGUUCUUCUGGUACGCAGCAGUGAUAUCGCCAAGGAAGACAGACUUGAUAAUACAUCCGCCACGCCACAUGCGCGCAAUACCAGCAUAGUUGAGGUUCCAAUUGAGCUCCUUGGCGGUCUCGCGCAUAAGCAUGAAGCCCUGGGUGUAGGAGAUGAUCUUGGAGGCGUAGAGCGCCUGCUCAAGGUCAUCGAUGAACUGCU